GAGACCUCAGGUCAGGCGGGGCUACCCGCUGAAUUUAAGCAUAUCAAUAAGCGGAGGAAAGGGC
This 64-nucleotide ribosomal RNA is filed under the name Trifolium environmental sample. RNAcentral's name for it is "partial 28S ribosomal RNA". It matches the Rfam family "Eukaryotic large subunit ribosomal RNA", at positions 1 to 63 of the family's 3401-position model. The record is from RNAcentral. Lineage: Eukaryota; Viridiplantae; Streptophyta; Magnoliopsida; Fabales; Fabaceae.